Molecule: ribosomal RNA, 398 nt
Filed under: uncultured soil bacterium
Lineage: Bacteria
Description: bacterial SSU rRNA
Rfam family: Bacterial small subunit ribosomal RNA
Source: RNAcentral
AGAUUGAACGCUGGCGGCAUGCCUAACACAUGCAAGUCGAACGGGAGUAGCAAUACUCUAGUGGCGGACGGGUGAGGAAUACGUAGGAAUUUGCCCUUAAGUGGGGGAUAACCCGGGGAAACCCGGAUUAAUACCGCAUGACCUCGAAAGAGCAAAGUGGGGGAUCGCAAGACCUCACGCUUUUGGAGAAGCCUACGUCGGAUUAGCUAGUUGGUGAGGUAAUGGCUCACCAAGGCGACGAUCCGUAACUGGUCUGAGAGGAUGAUCAGUCACACCGGAACUGAGACACGGUCCGGACUCCUACGGGAGGCAGCAGUGGGGAAUAUUGGACAAUGGGCGCAAGCCUGAUCCAGCAAUGCCGCGUGUGUGAAGAAGGCCUUCGGUUGUAAAGACGACUU